RNAcentral lists this transfer RNA (72 nucleotides) under Cavia porcellus (domestic guinea pig). It matches the Rfam family "tRNA". Rfam says of the family: Transfer RNA (tRNA) molecules are approximately 80 nucleotides in length. Their secondary structure includes four short double-helical elements and three loops (D, anti-codon, and T loops). The record is from Rfam by way of RNAcentral. Lineage: Eukaryota; Metazoa; Chordata; Mammalia; Rodentia; Caviidae.
UGAAGAGUAGCUCAGUGGUGGGGCACUUGCUUAGCAUGCAUGAGGCCCUAGGUUCAAUCCCUAGCACUGCAA